Long non-coding RNA from Bacillus rossius redtenbacheri, 6167 nucleotides. RefSeq lists it as uncharacterized. The transcript is spliced from 2 exons. Lineage: Eukaryota; Metazoa; Arthropoda; Insecta; Phasmatodea; Bacillidae. The record is from RefSeq and is a predicted model, not a curated record.
UCGCAUGUUAACAUUUACUUCCAUUUUUUUCGCAGCGUGUCAUAACAAAAGAUGUAAAGUUAUGUAUCCAUGGUUUGUAAAUCGCAUAGCAGGUAUUUUGUAGCAGUAAACAGAAGCGAGAUGCAAGACAAAGCAUUGGUCGAAGAGCGUUGCAGGGGUGGCCCGACUGUCCUGUCUGUGUUCAAGGUCAGCGCACUGCCUCGGAGGCCAUAGAUAGUAGCUCCCGGCGUGAGUCGCUAACAAGUCGCGAGGCUGCUCUAGGUAAACAAUGAACAUGAACCUGCUGUACCUAGAGAUGCCUGCAUUUACUAUCACACUUUCAUGAAGAACAAACUUACUGGGACAACCUGUAACAAUUUUCCUUAAUGUCACCAGCCAAAUUGAAAAUAUCUGCACUUUGAUAGUGACUAUGAUCAUUGUAUUUAUGUAAUUAUUUACAAUAUAUAUAUUUUUUUAAUUUAUUAAACGUGAUAGUAUGAAAGUUUUCCUAUAUUAAAAAAAUCAUAUAGAGAAGUAAAAUCUUUCAAAAAUGUAAGUUCGCCCUUUUAUAUCGGUUGAUGGAAAAAAACAUAAUUUUCAUAAUUUGGCUUUCAUGAAAGUAAUAAGGCCCAUUGCAUAAUUGUAUGAUCCUUUCAGUUAAUAUAAAAAUAAUAAAAUAGUUUAAGGUGAUAGCCCUUUAUAUAAAACAUGUAAUUAGGUGUAACUUGUUACAAAUGUCAAUAAAUUGAAAAAAAUAGAAAGUUAGUGGGUAUGUCUUAAAAAUCUUUAGCAUAUCUUGUACACAUGUAUGUCAUUUCAAAAAUAAUUUGUUAUGGUACCAAUGGUAAUUUUAUAUGUUUUCUACGAUUGUAUUAAUAUUUUGUAUCAUUUGUAUUCUGUGAGGAAAAAGAAACUAUAAUUAUUCUUGGGCUGCAUAAGUUACCAAUAGGCCUAAUUGGUAAAAAAAAAUUAGUACCAAAGAAUGCAAUAUAUGUGAAUUUUUCCAAUACAGUAUAUGUACCAUUUUGCAAAAAUACAUACAUGAGCGGGAAAUCAGAGUUUAUGUAGGCGUAUGUUGUCCCCAUGACCAGCGAUGGGGAGUGGGGGUGGGUGUUCCAGAUGCAGACAUGUAUUUUGAAAACUGUCAAAAACAAAUCAGAUUAGAAAAUGGCUUCAUCUUCAAAACGUGAGGUGUGCACUGGGAGCAGUAAAAAUUUGUGGAGCUAGGUCAGGAUUUGUGAAUUCACGGUUUAUCUGUACUAUUGACCGUUUCACUCUUGGAUUGUAGUACACAGCUUAGGUUGUGCGCUGUUGCCAAAUCUCCCAACUCAUUACGAUUAUCGGGAUAUGCAUUUCUUUAGAAUUAUGAUUGCACAAGAACCAUUUUAAGAACUCAUAUUGUUAUUUAUAAUAUUUUAUACUAUCAUGUUUAUUAAUUUUUGAUAAAAAUUGCCACUUUUUUUCCUCCAACUUAACAACAAGAAACGUUACACACAUUCAUUGGUACGAAUUCAUAAAAUAAUUGUAAAAUCAAAUUAAUAAAGAAAUUAGUAUUAAUACAUACCUUUUAAUCACUAUCGCUACUGUUAACCAAAGUUGAUCAAAGCUUCCUUUACUGCAUUGUUCACACACAUUGUUUUUGAAAAAUACUCAUACUUUCAACACAAACCCAGGUAGCCUACCAAUGUAGUUUCUUUUUGGUGUUCCAUCUUUUGUAGUUCAUAUUUAUGUAAUCCACAUAAAGGCAGAAUAUAAAAUCUCUUAUUAGAAUAAUUAAACCGUCAAAAUAUGUUUUCACAGUGUUAUGACGAGUUCUCUCCUAAGGAAAGCCUUAUUAUCUUCUCCCUCUAAUGGGGCUUGAAGGGAAUAAGGGGUUAUAAAAUAAGGUCUCAACAUUAACUUCAGUUCCACUUCAAUUUACUACUAACUAUUACAAUUGUCAACGCCGUCACCCGUUGAGUUAAAUCUAUAAAAUAUACUUAAGUCAAUCUACGUGCCUCUCAAUCACACCUGUGAGUCUCUUACCUCCGGUCUCUUGUCUCUCGCUCGCGGCAGAACUCUCGGCGAGGCGGGAAAAUGCGGCGAGAGUCACACGACACGCACCGGGCUCCAUCUCGGCACUGCCACCCCCAAAAUCCCCUUUUCGGGCGUGGCUGCCGUAUUUGAGACCUUGAGUCCGCAGCAUCUUCGACAGUCCUCGUUCCUACCCACUCUCGACCCUGUUUGCUUUCCACAACGGUGGCCAGCCUCGUUCAGAAGAAUUGUCCUUAACAUCCGACACAUGUCGAAACAGGGUGGGAUGAAAGACAAGAGUGGUGUCUGACAUACAGGUCAAGUCCAAUAACAAAAGACUGCACAGAACAUUGUUAAAUCAUCCGUGCAAAUUUUUAAAGACUUUUUUUUUUGAGAGAUGCAAGGCUAUUAAUGCGGAAGCACUUGUAGACUUUGUUUGAAAACUUAUCACAAAAAAAAUGUCACUCUGCCAGCAGUGCCACCUGCAACCGGCUCUAGAACCAAACAGAUACCCUUCAUUUCAUUGUCAUUUCAACAAAUGACAAAAUAUUCUAGACAGUGGACACAACGGUGGAAGUUUGCGAUUGUCCUUCCGGUGUGCUUUUCAGGAUUUUGCCUCCUUUGUUUGGACAUGAGAGUGUAACUAUUGCCAGCAUUGCACUGGGAGAAAAUUUCCCAGAAAACUUGUAAGCUGAAAUGGAGAACUGAAGUAACAGCUUUGACUCUAGAGGUGGACGACGUCUGUCGUGUCCCUCCCGGUCCCUGGGCCCGCUGUUGCCCAUCGCCGUCUUGUCCUGGUGCGAGUGCAACGAAGUGCUUCGAGUGCAAGUGCCCCAAGCGCAGCGACUGGUACGGUGAAUGACUGUGUCAUUCUGUGCCUUGGUGUUAAUAUAAUUGUGUUUAUUGAUUUAUGUUUUUAUUUAUAUAUCAUUUACUGACUGUCUGGAAGAGUAUUUGUGUAUUCUCUUUAUUCUAUGUGCAAUUACGUCAGCGAGUUGACCCGGACCACAUACUGUUUCACGCACAUCUCGUGCGGCCCCCUCCCGUGCUCGCCGCACCCCGGUGCACGGGAGGCAGUCUUGGCUCGUCCCUCCUCCAUGACGUACGCCUCGUACUAUUGCUCCCUGCUUCGCCGCUGCAGAGUUGUAAGUGGUUCAUAUCAGAGCAAGGCAGGCCGUGAUAGAACCUUACCACCUAGCGAAUAGCCACUCAGAUACUAACGAAGAGAUUAUACUUUUUAACGGUUUGUUAUAUACAAAAAAUAAAAUGUUAAGCGCCAAUUGUUGUUUUUGUUUUAUUUUUCAACGUAGAAUGCUACACUGAUUAAUUCAAUCACUUUCAAAAUCUUUCUCUCAUUCCACUCGUACUCCGCCUGUCGAGAAUUGCUCGCAGCUCUGGUGAUGAGGAUUAACGAAAAAUUACGUAGGUUAAGUCCUUCAGUAACAUCUUACUGUAAGUACACGAAAUCAGUGCGGCCUCAAACGUGGCCGCACCCAACGAAAAUUAAUUUCGCCAUGAGCCAAAAUGCCGACGUCGGUAGCUGCAAUUUCUAAUUAAAAAAGUGUCCAAAAAGUUUCAAAACAACAAAUGAUUAAACAGCAUGUCUCUAGCUACCGACGUUAAAUUUUCUAUUCCACAAUUACUACAUAUUUUGUGAGAAGCCACCCAACACGCCCUCCUGGUGCAGCGAUCGACAGACGACUGGUGAAGUCAUGGCACUGUGUCCUUCACGCAGGGAGGCAGUCACAUGACGUCACCGACCAAUCACACACACUUCAUUCACACUACAAAUCACAAGCCAAUAGGAAUACGCAACAUACAUUGAAAACAGUUUUCUAUACACAGAGCCAGGGAAUUUACAUUCUCGUUCUCUCUCCCACACCGUGAGACAGCAGUUAGCACUCAGUUCUCACGACCAGUGGGGAAUCCCAGCUUUUGUCUCUGUUGGCAGAGAAUCCCAGUGUCCGUCUCAUUCUUACUUACAAAUCUCAUAUCCCUCUUUCUCUCUAUUUACAUCCGCCACAGACACAGUUCCUUGUUCUAGAACUAUUAUGCAAUACGUUAAUGAAAAUUAAAAACAGCAAUCAUAAUACAAAUUACUUGACAAAAUUAAACUUAUUUAGAAAAACCUGAAAAAGUGGGCCAAAACAAGCAAAAAUCCAGUACGGAUUAUUUGUGAAUAAUUACAUAAAAAAUAUUAAUGAUUUAAAAUGUUUGUUAAUAUACAAAGUACAAUCUUAAAACAUACAGCAAGUGCAAAUAUCAAACCUAAAAUACAUAAAACCGGUAAAAAUAUUCUUAGCAAGACUUUUUAAGAAAUGUUUACAUUCAUGAAAAUAUUUUAAAAGAAAAAUAUUUAGCUAGGAGGGCAGGGGUCCUGGAAUGUUACAACUUGGAACACUGAGGAAGCUGUUGAAUGGAUCGCAGUUUCAGAAACCAAGGGGAAGACAGUGGUGCUUCGUCUGCAAAGAACUAGGACACAUCCGGCGCGAGUGUCCGAAUCGUGAUAGGAAGCCCAAGGGAGAAGUACAACGCUGUGAGACAACGAUCGAACAGGAGAAGAGUCUGCCGGUUCGACGAAGAAGAGGUCGCCCACAAUGUUAUGGGUGUCGAAAAAGAGGACAUGUCCAACAUGACUGCCCGAAUCUUGUGAAAAAACCGAAGGAGGAAGGACACUGAUGUGUCAGCAGGAUUAAGGAGGGUGGUAACUCACCAGUUAAAGGAACAGGAAGUUGCCUACGGUGUUCAGUUUCUGCGUGCCGACAAGGGCAUUCUCAAGGGAGGUGCCCGGAAUGGGAACCUGUUCAGCGGGGUUGCCUUAUGGAAAGGGAAGCGCCACGGCAGCAGGUAAGGAAGAGCGAGACCCAUAGGCACCGCAAAGUUGGCCUGUGGACCCGUAGAGUCGGACGGCCGCGAUGUUAUAUCUGUCAGGAAGUGGGCCAUAUUCAGUGCACCGGUCCGCUGCGUAGGAGGGCUUUGCCGCAUGGCUCACAACAGCACAGUGUUACCUGUUAGGGACGAACCGGUUUAAGUAGGGGGCAAUGUUACGAACGUGAGAAGGGCCGCGGCACGUGCAGGUUCGGAGCUGGCUGGCGGCCUCGUACGGCUACUGAUGUCAUGUGGCCACUGCAACAUGAGACGUGCUGUGCGCGCAUGUUAGAUUACAAGUGUCAUCACUUCCCCCCUCCCUCCCUCUGCUUCCCUAGCGACGCUCUGUCUUUGACACAUUAUCUGACACCUUGCAGCUGGGGAGUUACGCGAGCUACCGAUACGUGUCUCGAGAUUUCUGGCGUCGGGUCGGCGUGGAAUGACGCGACUGGCCCCAGCUGCGCUCGCGACUUCUAGAAGUGGCGCCUGGGCCUAUAUAAGCCCGGGACGCCGGCCUCCGAGGGGAAUGCAGUUGGGAGUGGGGUUGAUCCGGGCAAUAGAGCUGCGGGUGCAGCGGAGUUCCUCGCCGAGCGAGUUGGGUGGCGAGAGGCCGUGGGUGCAGCGAGAGUCCCGAGCAAAGCGUCGAGUGGAAGCCUCGGCGAAGGGAAGUGCGACGGCGGCGACGGAGGUCCACAAGGGGUGCUGCCCAGCGAGGUGUGCAAUGUGUAAAAACCGAGUGACUGGGGAAUAAACAUUUUUUUUUUAAGUGUAUUGAUUACUAGGCAUUUUUAGAAGAUUAUUUGUAGUGAUGUAAAUAUUGGCAAUCAAUAAAACUGUGUAGUAAAAUCUUUAAUUGGGCUAUCCAUUUACGAACCCAGUAUUUUUCCCAUGACGAUUAUUGUUUCAAUAAUCGUAACAAUUUUAUAUAUAUAAUUCUCAGUUAAAUUAUAUUUAUAUUUAUUUGGUAGUUUAGAUGGAUGUAACAUGUACAAUUUUUUUAUUCAAAACUGUUAGAUAAAAUUUUAUAGUAUGUAUGGGAACAUCGACAAUUUAUGACUUAAAAAAUAUUUUCCAAGUUUCUAAGAAUAUGUGUUGGAUAUUUUUCAGUUUAUUUAAACAAUUUUGUAUCUAGAAUUACUUUGUAUAUAUUUUUGAUUAAAACAAUGUGAGGUUUUAAUCUGGUUUCAAUGUUACUAUCCAUAUAUAUUUCAGAAGCAUUUUCCAGUUGAUUUGGCAUGUUCGUUAUCACAGUCAAUAAAUGUUACAUUUUACAUUGCAGUAGAUAUCAAUAAAAAUUCUUCUUUUAA